UACGGAGGGUGCAAGCGUUAUCCGGAUUCACUGGGUUUAAAGGGUGCGUAGGUGGAGAGGUAAGUCAGUGGUGAAAUCUCCGGGCUUAACCCGGAAACUGCCAUUGAUACUAUCUUUCUUGAAUAUCGUGGAGGUGAGCGGAAUAUGUCAUGUAGCGGUGAAAUGCUUAGAUAUGACAUAGAACACCAAUUGCGAAGGCAGCUCACUACACGAAUAUUGACACUGAGGCACGAAAGCGUGGGGAUCAAACAGG
RNAcentral lists this ribosomal RNA (253 nucleotides) under uncultured bacterium. RNAcentral describes it as "partial 16S ribosomal RNA". It matches the Rfam family "Bacterial small subunit ribosomal RNA", at positions 524 to 776 of the family's 1533-position model. The record is from RNAcentral.